UACGGAGGGAGCCAGCGUUGUUCGGAAUUACUGGGCGUAAAGCGCACGUAGGCGGCUUUGUAAGUUAGAGGUGAAAGCCUGGAGCUCAACUCCAGAAUUGCCUUUAAGACUGCAUCGCUUGAAUCCAGGAGAGGUGAGUGGAAUUCCGAGUGUAGAGGUGAAAUUCGUAGAUAUUCGGAAGAACACCAGUGGCGAAGGCGGCUCACUGGACUGGUAUUGACGCUGAGGUGCGAAAGCGUGGGGAGCAAACAGG
Molecule: ribosomal RNA, 253 nt
Filed under: uncultured bacterium
Lineage: Bacteria
Description: partial 16S ribosomal RNA
Rfam family: Bacterial small subunit ribosomal RNA
Source: RNAcentral